UGGAUGUUGAUGUAGAAGAUUAUUACCCAGCUUUCCUGGACAUGGUGCGGAGCCUGCUGGAUGGCAACAUAGACUCAUCACAGUAUGAAGACUCACUGAGAGAGAUGUUCACCAUUCAUGCCUACAUUGCCUUUACCAUGGACAAACUGAUCCAGAGCAUUGUCAGACAGCUGCAGCAUAUCGUGAGUGAUGAGAUCUGUGUGCAGGUGACUGACCUUUACCUGGCAGAAAAUAAUAAUGGGGCCACUGGAGGCCAGCUGAACACACAGAACUCAAGGAGCCUCCUGGAGUCAACGUAUCAGCGGAAAGCUGAGCAGCUAAUGUCAGAUGAGAAUUGCUUUAAGGUGAGAGUUGCUCAGGUAGUCGAAGACCUUGCUGGUGACAAUGUCAGUUGUUAGGAUUCUCUGAACCAGAAGUUAAAGCCAGCGUACUUUGACCUGUGAUUCUACUCCUGGAACUUUUAAUGAGUUCACCAGAGAAAUACAAAGUGGAAGUAAUUGUCUUCCUGGACAGUCUACUUUGUUUCUUUCCUGCCUUUAAAGGAAAAAAAAAAACUAGUUAUAUAUGAUUUUUACAAUUUUGUAUUCUUUUUCUCUGAAC
Molecule: small RNA, 600 nt
Filed under: Pongo abelii (Sumatran orangutan)
Lineage: Eukaryota; Metazoa; Chordata; Mammalia; Primates; Hominidae
Description: retained intron
Source: RNAcentral